Molecule: ribosomal RNA, 254 nt
Filed under: uncultured bacterium
Lineage: Bacteria
Description: partial 16S ribosomal RNA
Rfam family: Bacterial small subunit ribosomal RNA
Source: RNAcentral
UACGAAGGGUGCAAGCGUUAAUCGGAAUUACUGGGCGUAAAGGGUGCGUAGACGGCCUGAUAAGUCGGAUGUGAAAGUCCUGGGCUCAACCUGGGGACGGCAUCUGAUACUGUUGGGCUUUGAGUUUGGGAGAGGGUGGUGGAAUUCCCGGUGUAGCGGUGAAAUGCGUAGAGAUCGGGAGGAACAUCCGUGGCGAAGGCGGCCACCUGGCCUGAAACUGACGUUGAGGCACGAAAGCGUGGGGAGCAAACAGG